CUCCCGGGGACGCCGGGGAGGGGAUUGGGAACUGCCGGGCCGCUCCCCGCCGGCGGGCCACAGCCCCGGGCGCGGGUGGAGCCGGGCUAGGGGGUUGAGGUGCGGAUCGGUUUGGAAGGCGGCGGCGGGCAAAGCUCCAGACGUACUGGGAAUUCACCUCCAAGCCUACGCUUCUGGCCUCUUCCCACGCUCCCUCUGCUGCCUCUGGCCUUUGGAAUGUUACCAGAAUCCAGACCAGCCUCAACCCAGCCUCUGCCGAAAGUCUCAUUCGUGACAUAAUCACUUCUCAUCUCACUUAUUGCAAUCCAUCUUUAAUAGCCUUCCAUCCCUGCUUCGUCGUGCUGCGACUGGCAUGCUCCGUCACUGCAGGAAGUUGGGCCGUUUCAUCACCAUCCUCCAUUGAUCUGCCUUGGCUUCCUGUCCAUCUCUUGCUCCAGUUUAGAAUGAGAUUUCCUGGCUUUCAAAACUCUUCGGAUUCACUUCACCCCUCCUCUCUGGCCCCGAAUACAACCACUCCCUCUGCUUCUCUGAUUUCCAUCCAGCUUCUCCAAUUCACUCUUCCAAGACCCAUCCACCUACUUCCCCAAUCCAUGCCUCCAACAUCCAUUCAGAUAAGAAUUUUGACCCAACCUCAUCUCUUACCAAAAACCACCAAAGCAUUCUGUUUGUUUUUUAAGACUGGUGCUGAGCAUCUACCCUCAGAAAAUUAGGCCCCUUUUGUGGUGUAUCAAAAACAGUGCUGAAAUUACAAACUAUCACUUUAAGUGAAAGGGUUUUCCUGGGUUUGCUUGCAGGCUAGAGGGGUCUUGAGAGAAGUGUUUGAGCAGAGGAGCUGGUAAAGAACCAGCUUAAAGUAAGGUGGGGUGAGCUGUUCCUCGCUGCCUUAAGGAGCAGCCUGCUUUGUCUCUCUCUGUUUUUGUGUGUUAUUGUUCUGAAUUCUAAGCUAUAAAGUAGUGUUACGUUGCAACCUUUCA
Molecule: long non-coding RNA, 974 nt
Organism: Chelonia mydas (Green sea turtle)
Lineage: Eukaryota; Metazoa; Chordata; Testudines; Cheloniidae
Exons: 2
Source: RefSeq, a predicted model, not a curated record